AACGAACGCUGGCGGCAUGCCUAACACAUGCAAGUCGAACGAGAUCUUCGGGUCUAGUGGCGCACGGGUGCGUAACGCGUGGGAAUCUGCCCUUUGGUUCGGAAUAACAGUUGGAAACGACUGCUAAUACCGGAUGAUGACGAAAGUCCAAAGAUUUAUCGCCAGAGGAUGAGCCCGCGUAGGAUUAGCUAGUUGUUGUGGUAAAGGCGCACCAAGGCGACGAUCCUUAGCUGUUCUGAGAGGAUGAUCAGCCACACUGGGACUGAGACACAGCCCAGACUCCUGCGGGAUGCAGCAGUGGGGAAUAUUGUACAUUGGGAGAAAGCCUGAGCCAGCACUGCCGCGUGAGUGCUGACGGCCUUAGGGUUGUAAAGCUCUUUUACCCGGGAUGAGAAUGACAGUACCGGGAGAAUAAGCUCCGGCUAACUCCGUGCCAGCAGCCGCGGUAA
RNAcentral lists this ribosomal RNA (449 nucleotides) under uncultured bacterium. Its description in RNAcentral is "partial 16S ribosomal RNA". It matches the Rfam family "Bacterial small subunit ribosomal RNA", at positions 29 to 523 of the family's 1533-position model. The record is from RNAcentral.